ACACAGCAUUUCAUGGAUUUGGAGUUCAUUAGUCCUAAUGCUCAUCCUGGAGUUUACUUCUUUUAUGACUUUUCUCCAAUCAAGUCCACUUUUAGGGAGGAACAUAUUUCAUUUUUGCACUUCAUCACCAAUAUAUGUGCUGUAAUUGGAGGUAUCUUCACAGUUGCAGGGAUAAUCGACUCGUUUGUAUAACAUGGUCAAAGAAAGAUCAAGAAGAAGGUCGAAAUCGAAAAAUUCAGAUGAUUUAUCUGCUUAUUAUUCCCAUACAUCACCUUGGCUUUCGACACGGUUUUCGAGUAUUUUUGGGAUAGUGCCCGUGUAGGGAUCCAUGCUGCUGUUUACAUCCCAGAUUGUAUGACAACAUAUUAGUCCUUGAAUCAUUGUUGAAACUGUCAG
Hibiscus syriacus is the source of this 396-nucleotide long non-coding RNA. RefSeq lists it as uncharacterized. The transcript has 3 exons. The record is from RefSeq and is a predicted model, not a curated record. NCBI's taxonomy places the organism in Eukaryota, Viridiplantae, Streptophyta, Magnoliopsida, Malvales, Malvaceae.